RNAcentral lists this long non-coding RNA (233 nucleotides) under Dasypus novemcinctus (nine-banded armadillo). Its description in RNAcentral is "lncRNA (ENSDNOG00000050672.1)". The record is from RNAcentral. Lineage: Eukaryota; Metazoa; Chordata; Mammalia; Cingulata; Dasypodidae.
CACUUAACUGAAUGGCUGCUAACUAAAUAUUUUGGGGGCCAGAGCCUUCCCAGGUAGCAGCUGGAGCAUCUCCGUGCCGGAACUGAGACAUCAAGCGCGAGCCGGGCAUCGACAGAUUGUUAGAGCCCAUGGAAUACCAAUGAUAAUUGCUGACAUUGGAGUGAUCACUUUAUGCCAAGCACUGUGAGAAGCCCUUUACAUGAAUUUUUUCAUCUAAUCCUACAACCCCCCUU